This 1051-nucleotide ribosomal RNA is filed under the name uncultured Chloroflexota bacterium. RNAcentral describes it as "bacterial SSU rRNA". It matches the Rfam family "Bacterial small subunit ribosomal RNA", at positions 38 to 1116 of the family's 1533-position model. The record is from RNAcentral. Lineage: Bacteria; Bacillati; Chloroflexota.
UACGGCGUGCUAAUGCAUGCAGUCGAACGGGAUCCUUUGGACUCGUCUAAAGGUGAGAGUGGCGAACGGGUGAGUAACACGUUGGUGACCUGCCCCAGAGAGGGGGACAACCACUGGAAACGGUGGCUAAUACCCCAGAUGUCUUCGACCUUAGAAGUCGAUGACUAAAGCACCGGCGCUCUGGGAGGGGCCUGCGGCCCAUCAGCUAGUUGGUAGGGUAAUGGCCUACCAAGGCAAAGACGGGUAGGGGGCGUGAGAGCGUGACCCCCCACACUGGUACUGAGACACGGACCAGAUACCUGCGGGUAGCAGCAGCAAGGAAUAUUGCCCAAUGGACGAAAGUCUGAGGCAGCAACGCCGCGUGGAGGACGAAGGCCUUCGGGUUGUAAACUCCUUUUCUGGGGGAUGAGAAAGGACAGUACCCCAGGAAUAAGUCUCGGCUAACUACGUGCCAGCAGCCGCGGUAAAACGUAGGAGGCGAGCGUUAUCCGGAUUUACUGGGCGUAAAGCGCAUGCAGGCGGUUUUCUAAGUCGGACGUGAAAGCUCCUGACUCAACUGGGAGAGGCCGUUCGAAACUAGGAGACUUGAGGGUGGUAGAGGAGAGUGGAAUUCCCGGUGUAGUGGUGAAAUGCGUAGAUAUCGGGAGGAACACCAGUGGCGAAGGCGGCUCUCUGGGCCAACCCUGACGCUCAGAUGCGAAAGCUAGGGGAGAGAACGGAAUUAGAAACCCCGGUAUUCCUAGCCGUAAACGAUGUCAACUAGGCGUAGGGGGUUAUUGACCCCUCCUGUGCUGUAGCUAACGCAUUAAGUUGACCGCCUGGGGACUACGGCCGCAAGGCUAAAACUCAAAGGAAUUGACGGGUCCCCGCACAAGCAGCGGAGCGUGUGGUUCAAUUCGAGGCUACCCAAAAACCUUACCAGGGUUUGACAUGCUGGUGGUAGAACUUGAAACGAACCGACCUUCGGGAACAACACAGGUGCUGCAUGGCUGUCGUCACUCGUGCGUGAGGUUUAGGUUAGUCCUGUACGAGCGCACCCUCGUCGCUAUUA